UUAACUCAAAUUUGUAUUGAGUUGGAAUGUUUACCUACGUUUGCCGCUAGGGGCGCUGUUCCAACUGCAUACAAUAUUAAAUA
RNAcentral lists this microRNA precursor (83 nucleotides) under Bombyx mori (domestic silkworm). RNAcentral's name for it is "mir-2807 microRNA precursor family". It matches the Rfam family "mir-2807 microRNA precursor family". The record is from Rfam by way of RNAcentral. Lineage: Eukaryota; Metazoa; Arthropoda; Insecta; Lepidoptera; Bombycidae.